Molecule: long non-coding RNA, 699 nt
Organism: Tribolium castaneum (red flour beetle)
Lineage: Eukaryota; Metazoa; Arthropoda; Insecta; Coleoptera; Tenebrionidae
Exons: 3
Source: RefSeq, a predicted model, not a curated record
ACCAGUCAUAGUUGGAAAAAUUUUGCUUAAUCACAAGGCAAGUUUUUCGCUCCUUGCCAGUUGGUGGCUGUUUAUAAUGAUAAUAAACGUGGUCUUUAAAUCACGAUUAACUGCACAUAUGAUUUACCCACGUGUCCCACCGCCAACUCUGGACGAAUUACUCAGUGAGGGGUAUAAUUUUGUGGGUGAUAAGAACAGACUAUCAUUCUACCAACAAGUUUUUUCGGAUGAGGAAAAAUCAUUGUUUUUGAAGUCAACAAAUAUGCAAAAAAACAACGUUUGUGAACUUGCAGUUUACAUUGAGACACACAAAUCUAUUCUUGCGGGCGAAAAAUCGCGAAAUUUGUAUCACACCAAACUGUUUUGUUCGCACUAUUACCAAAAACCACCGCAAAAUUUGGAGCUUUUUUCGGCAAAAACCUUCGUUUUAAUCCCCUAUGCUUGGGCCUUUAGACUUGGAACACCAUUUGUUGAUAGUUUUAACAGCGGCAUCAAGCAAAUGAUGAGUGGAGGUUUUCUCAAAGUAUGGGAACGUGAGGCAUUUUUAAAUAAAGAAUUUCGCAAGUAUCGAAAAAAUUCGUCGAGAAAUAACACUCGAAUUGAAUCCGACGCUUUCCUGAUGGUUUGUUUAUUACACUUAGGUGCGCUUUUUGGCUCACUUGUGGUGUUUUUCAUCGAAUUGAGUUAUUUUGCGUUGAA